GGAGCUUCCAUCUUCAGCUACAAGGGGCAAUUGGUACCAUUCAAUCUCCAUUCCUAUUCUUAUUUACCAAUUAUUGUCAUUCUUCUACUUCCACACUUGAAGAUGCACGCUUCUUGACAAAUAACUUCAAAUCUGCUUCUUUUACCCGCCUUGAUGAUGCCAUUGCUUCCUUUAAUCAUGUAAUUCAUAUGCAUCCUCUUCCUUCUAGGGCUCAAUUUAGUAGAUUCUUCUCUGCCCUUGUGAAAAUGAAACAAUAUCACACUGUAUUUUCCAUGUCCAAAACAAUUGAAUUGGUAGGAAUCUCCCACGAUGUUUAUUCUCUUAGCAUCUUAAUUAAUUGCUUCUGCCACUUACACCUUGUGGAUUUUGGCUUCUCUGUUUUCGGAAAGAUGUUCAAAUUCGGAUUGGAGCCUACCACUGUGACAUUUACUACCUUAAUCAAUGGGCUUUGUAUAGAGAGUUAAAUGGACAAAGCAGUGGAAUUUUUCGAUGAUAUGGUUGCACGUGGUUAUCAACCUGAUGUUCGUACUUUCACUGUGAUAGNNNNNNNNNNNNNNNNNNNNNNNNNNNNNNNNNNNNNNNNNNNNNNNNNNNNNNNNNNNNNNNNNNNNNNNNNNNNNNNNNNNNNNNNNNNNNNNNNNNNNNNNNNNNNNNNNNNNNNNNNNNNNNNNNNNNNNNNNNNNNNNNNNNNNNNNNNNNNNNNNNNNNNNNNNNNNNNNNNNNNNNNNNNNNNNNNNNNNNNNNNNNNNNNNNNNNNNNNNNNNNNNNNNNNNNNNNNNNNNNNNNNNNNNNNNNNNNNNNNNNNNNNNNNNNNNNNNNNNNNNNNNNNNNNNNNNNNNNNNNNNNNNNNNNNNNNNNNNNNNNNNNNNNNNNNNNNNNNNNNNNNNNNNNNNNNNNNNNNNNNNNNNNNNNNNNNNNNNNNNNNNNNNNNNNNNNNNNNNNNNNNNNNNNNNNNNNNNNNNNNNNNNNNNNNNNNNNNNNNNNNNNNNNNNNNNNNNNNNNNNNNNNNNNNNNNNNNNNNNNNNNNNNNNNNNNNNNNNNNNNNNNNNNNNNNNNNNNNNNNNNNNNNNNNNNNNNNNNNNNNNNNNNNNNNNNNNNNNNNNNNNNNNNNNNNNNNNNNNNNNNNNNNNNNNNNNNNNNNNNNNNNNNNNNNNNNNNNNNNNNNNNNNNNNNNNNNNNNNNNNNNNNNNNNNNNNNNNNNNNNNNNNNNNNNNNNNNNNNNNNNNNNNNNNNNNNNNNNNNNNNNNNNNNNNNNNNNNNNNNNNNNNNNNNNNNNNNNNNNNNNNNNNNNNNNNNNNNNNNNNNNNNNNNNNNNNNNNNNNNNNNNNNNNNNNNNNNNNNNNNNNNNNNNNNNNNNNNNNNNNNNNNNNNNNNNNNNNNNNNNNNNNNNNNNNNNNNNNNNNNNNNNNNNNNNNNNNNNNNNNNNNNNNNNNNNNNNNNNNNNNNNNNNNNNNNNNNNNNNNNNNNNNNNNNNNNNNNNNNNNNNNNNNNNNNNNCACUCACCCUAUUGAAAGAAAUGGAGGAAAGUCAGUUGAAGCCUGAUCUUGUGACCUAUUGCAUUCUGAUCAAUGGUAUGUGCAAAGCUGGCAAGAUUAAUGAUGCCAAGGAACUGUUUUCUAGUCUUUUUGAAAAUGGUUUACAACCUAAUGUUCAUAUAUAUAGUGCAAUUAUGAAAGGACUCUGCUGAUGAUGGACUAAUAGACGAAGCAUAUAAGAUUUUUAGAGACAUGGAAAAGGGAGGAUGUUUACCGAAUAAUUAUUCUUAUAAUAUCAUCAUUCAAGGGUUUCUCAGGCAUGAGGAUUUAUCAAAAGCAUCACAACUAAUCAAUGAAAUGGUUGAUAAGGGGUUCUCUGCUGAUGAUGCUACCACAGAAUUGGUAGUACAUUUAUCGCAGAAUAAUAAUUUCAUUCUAAGGCUUUUAAAGGUGCGCAAUGAGGGAUCAACAAACUAAAGUUGUUAUAUCUUGACCAUUCAAGUGUAUCUUAGAGCGGAACUUGGUAAUUACCUUUUCCAAAUAUAAUAGAUAUGUAAUUUAACUAACUUGAAUCAACUGUGAUUCUCUUCCACAAAAUGAAAAUUUCUAAUACUGCAAAUUACCUGUGGUGGAAGCCAUGGUAUGUGUGUGCCCUUCGCUUGAAUUCAGACAUGGACUAGAUCUCUUUGAUAUAAGAUUGUUGAUGAAUGGAGGUCAUGGAUUUCUAAUCAUUAAGUUGCUGGUAAACCCACCAUCUCCGUUAUAAUUUUUUUUUGCUGCUACUACAGUCUUUACUUGAGAGCUCAGUCCUAAAAUUGAGUUGAGAACUAAAACUAAUUGGUUCUAUACUACAAUGCCUAAGAAUCUUUAUCUAUUUUUAUUUUUGUGCCAAAUGACCUUUCAAAAUGCUAUCAUUUCUCUUGUAGGUACUUGCAAGGAUAUGACUACAACUUCACCUUUCUAACCAUAAAGGUAUAAGUAACUCAUUUUUGCUUAGUUAUUAUAAUUUUUAAUAAUAAUGAAACUAAUGAUUAUAAACCAGUGUGCUUUAAUUGAGAAUUGUUUUAACAAUUAUACUACACUAUAAAUGCAGGGCGCAGGAUAUACAGUCCCAGAAUACAAGGUAAGAGAAUUAGUAGACUUCUACCGCUUUUGGUUGGAUGAAAUGUCACUAAAAUUAUAGACAACGGAAAAUGUCAUGGGAAUUGAGGGGAAAAACAAACAUCCUCUUUGUCAAUAUGGUAUAUAACAGAUAUAUUUUAGUGUUGGACCACCAUUUGAGUUCAUAAAUUGGCUCGUGAAUAGACUCGUGAACAUUCUGGUUAAACAAACUGAAAUUAAUAUCAUAAAGAAAUAAAUUCAACCCCUACAUAUACUUUUGUGAGCCUAAUCCAAAUUUAUUAAAGUUUAGCUCUAUAUAUUUUAAUUACUCUUAAAACUUAUAUAUAUUUGGAUAGUUAAGAACUCAUCUUUUAAAUUUGUGAGUUAAUUUGUAUAUAUAUUUUUUUGGUUAAAAUUAUUUAUUUUUAAAUUUAUUAGUUUUAAAUUAAAACUCAUUAUAUAUGUAAAUAAAUCGAAUAUAGACUAAAUUCGAUAAAAACUCGACUAGUCUAAAUUUAUUUGCUAAACUAACUUAGUUUGAGUUUAUUAAUACUCGAGUUCGAAAUGAGUAAAACUUGAAUUCAUCUUGAGUUCGAAAAAAUUUUAAUGAACUAAACUUGAACUCUUCAAAAUUCGGUUAUAUUCGGCUCAUCUACACUCCAAAGUAAAUUUUAAAAAGUGAUUAAAUUACUAAUGAAUUCUAAAUUCAUUGGUAAUUGGCCCAAAAAAUUACUAACUAAUUUGAAAAUUCAUUACUAAACUUUAUCAUCAAAUUAAUAAGUAAAAAAAGUGUUAAAUUUAUCAAUUGAAGCUUUACGCUGGAAAAUCCGUUGGAUAAAAUUAAAAUAAAAUUUCAUAAAAUUUCCACGUUUUUUUACUACUCAUAUUUUUUCCGUUAUUAAUGGAUUUAAUAACAUAUUUUAAAUUCAUUAAUUUUUAAAAAGAGAAAAGACUUUUUUUUUUCUAAAUUUAAUAAUAAAUUAUAAAUUCAUUAGUAAUUCGCGGUUAUAAAUAUUAGACCGGUUCUUCUGGUUUUAUCAUUUAUUUAUCUUAUUAUUUUCUUCUCUUCCAUUUUCCUUCCUCCUCUCAUUAUCAUUUUCCUCCCUUCCUUUCUCUCAUUUUCUUUUUUUUCUAUUACUUUAUUCAGUAUUUCACUCUUUUAUUGCAUAAUUUUUUUUUAUUUUUUCUAUUAUUUUCCUUUCAUCUCUUAUCCUAUUUUCUCUCAUUCUCUUUCCUCUUUUAUUAUUUACUUCCUUCUUCAUAAUUUCCUUUCAUUUUCUCCAUUUUUUCUAUUUGGUUCUUUUAUUUUCUCCCAUUUUCUUUAUUUUCUCUAUAAUUUUCAUUCAUAUUAAUUUUUCUAAUAUUAUUUUUUUCUAUCAUUUUUUUCUAUUUAUAUAUUUUUUAUUAUUUUCUCUUUAUUUAUUUUUUUCUCUAAUUAUUUGUUCACUUUUUUUCAUUUAUCUAAUAAUAUUUUUACUCUACUCUCAUUCUUCAUUCUUUUUUUAUAAUUUUUAUUUUCUACCAUUUUCUUUAUUUUUCUCUUUUUUUCUCCUUUUUUUAUUAUUUUCUCCCAUUUUAUACCAUUUACUUCUCUUAUUUUCACUUUCUAUGUAUUUCUAAUAAAUAUUGGAUACAAAUUUAAAAUUUAGUAAUAAUAAUAAUAUAAUUUUUAAUCUUAUUAAAUUAAUAAACAAUUAUUUAAACUCUCAGUAGAUUUAUUAAAAAAUUGUAAUUUGUUAGUAAUUUAUUAAUGAAUUUCAUGUCUAUUAGUAAAUUAUUUUUCUUUUAAUGUAUUAAUACAUUUAAAAUCUGUUAAUAAUAAUAAUGAAAAUUUUAUUAGUAAAUUCAUUAUUAUUAUUAAUAUACUUGAAAACUGGUGUUAAAAAUUUACUAUCGAGAUUUUUAAUAAUAGAUCUAAUCCAUUAGUAAUAUGUUGGUAAUUCAUUUAUCAGUGAAUUUUUUAUUGAUUACCAUUGAAAAAUUCAUUAAUAAUCUAUAAAUUUUUUUAGUAUUUUUAAAAAUAAAAAUAAAAAUACUAUUUUUAAAUUUAGAUUUUAAGAACUUUUAGUUGAAUAAAUGAAAAUUUAAAACUUUUUGCGACUAUAAUAUUAUCCAUAUUAAUGAACUAGCUAAAUUUUUUUUAGUUUAAUUUAUUCACUAAAAAUAUAGAUAAUAUGUUUAUCACAAUAUAUCAAAAAAUUAAAAAUACAUAUAUGAUUAUUAUUUUAAUAUACGCCGCAGAACCUCCUCUCCGCCUCUUGCAACGCUUCGGACUACCAGGGGAACCUCAGUGACACCGUCGACCAUUUCAGAGCUGCUAUGGAGCCAAUCGAUUCAACAAGCGAGAAAUUCAUGGCCAAGGCGCCCAUUCUUGACUCGAAGACACAAAAUCACAGCUGCUCCUCACCUAAGAUUUGCAUUGGUUGCAACCUCCAGGUAUAAAUUUUGGUUUAUUGGGGUUUGAUCCGAUGAAAUUUCUAUUUCUCUAGGUUGUUUAGAUGUAUAUAAUCUUGUAUUAAGUACUUCCAUUGAUUGAUUCAGUUGAGAUGCUUGUGUUUGGAUGUUACAUAGUUUGAAGCAAUUCGUAUGACCUCCUCAAUUUUACCUGUGAGAGCUGCUAGGAGUUUUAUUUCCUUGAAAAUUGAUUAGUUCCUCAAGACCUCUAAAGAUUGUAUAUAAAUGGAAAGUUGGCAACACUCUCAAGAAGCUCCAGGAUUGCAAGCUUUAUUAUCCUUCUUUCUAGGUUCAUCCCUUCAGAAUCUCACAGAAAUUACUUAGCAUUUUGUCUUUUCAAAUUAGUUGUUUAUUUUUACUUUACUAAAAAUUAUUUUUUCUGCAAUUUGCAUGAUCUAAUUCUAUGAUCUAAUUCUAUGGAGCAGGUGUUACUUUCUCAUUUAUUAGAAUUUACUUUUAUACCAUUACUAUCCCUCAGUAACGGAGCUUAAACUCAUUUUCAAACACUCAUUUUUUUAAUUAUUUUUGAAAUUUGAAAUUUGAUGUUUAUUUUCUUUAUAUGCCCAAUUAUAAAUAUAAAUAAUUGUAUAUUUUGUUGUCCUAUAUUAUGUAAGAUUUCUGAAACAUAUUAAGAUUAAGGUUUUGCCAAAUUUUGAUCAGUUUUUUUUAAUUAGUUAAAAUUUAUUGUGAAAUAUUAUUUUUUUCAGUGAAAUUUUUAAUGGUUUUUUAAUUUAAUAGAAAUUUUAACUUUAAUUUCAAUUUUAAAAAAUUAAAAGAAAGCUAGAUACAAAACAUGGUAUGUAGUGUUUAUGCAGUUCAACCACUCAUCCAUCAUUCUUCUCUAUCAACUUCCCAGAAACCAUAACCCAUCCCCGCUCUACACUUUCGACCCAAAAACAAGAUUCCAUUCACCAUUGUCGCAGCCACCUCCUUCAACCCAUCUCCAACACCGUCAGCUCCCAUAGCAGAAAUCAUAAAUAAGAGAUUAUAAAAAAAGAUUUGGUCAAAAUACAAUUCUAAUUCAUAAUAAAAAUUACAUGUACACAACUAAAUUAUUACAUCAGAACUGUAACAGCCCGCAAACCGGACCAUUACCGGCGCUAGAAUUCAGGUCAACCUGAGGCCGUCUGAACCCGUAGCAAGCCUACUAUGAACUCUGUGUACCUGAUAAAUCCCAUACAUGAUCACACAUUUCCAUAAAAAUUUUGAUUUUUCAUUAAAUUAGCUUGACCUGUACAUGAAUCAUAACUAUAAACAUAAAUAGCCUACUAGAGUCCUCAUCAAAUACUCCAGAGGGUCAUAAAACUGUCAAGCUUAAAGGUUAUCAUAAAGAUAAACAUCAUAAGUCAUAAAAUACUGAUCAUGUACAAAGGGAAAUCAACAUAGUCUUAGGGCUAUGCACAAUUUCUAACUGUUUUCAUUACAUCACUUUUAACAUAAACAUAACUAUUACAUUCCUUCUCAAAGUAUUGUACAUGUCCACUUUCUAUACAUAUUCCUAACUUUACCCUGGCUGAUGCUCUGACUUCCUCUGAGGCCCUAAAACACGGGGUUAGGGAGAGGGGUGAGCUACUAGAACCCAGUGAGUAGAAUCACAUAAAACAUUAAAUACAUAUUCUCAAUGAAAUGCAUCACAACUCAAACAAUUCACAUAACGGAUGGACAUGACCUCAAAACUCCCUAAGCUAUUUGCCCGACCACCAUAAAGGGCACCACAGGACUUCGUAAUGCCUGGCCCAGCCAGGUCUUUCCAUAGGGCUAUUGGGUCGCUUGGGUCCAUCCACAUCAUCAUGAUAUCAUAGAUCAACAUUAUGCAAUGCAACAGCUUCGUGGUUACUAGUGCAGUACAUCCUACUAUAAACAUGGUAUUCAUGAUGCAUGAAACAUGCUAAAACAUUUAUUUACUUAAAACAUAGUUUAGUUCUACUCACCUCUAACAAUAGCUGGACUGUCUCUGAAAAUCUAACUCUGAGGGCCUCCUUGGUUCCUUGGGUCCGUACCUACACAGGCGGACUCAAAUGAGGUACCGAACAUACUCUAACAUAGCUAUGAAUAUCUCUCCAAAAACCCCCUAAAACAUCAUAAACAUGCUUGGAAAAAUUGGCAAAGAAAAGCUGAACAGAGGCCUUUCGGCGGCAGGUUCGGCGGCCGAAACCCCCCUCCAGAGACGAAAGUCACCCACCUUCGGCGGCACUUUCGGCGGCCGAACCUUGCCUCCAGAGACGAAAGUCUACUUUCGGGGGCAGGGUUUGGCAGUCGAAACUGCUUCCAUAAGGGGUUCGGCGGCCGAAAGUCCACUUUCGGCGGCCGAACCUGAGUUUCCCCAGAAGGCAGAAACUCGGGCAACUUCCUCUCCACAGCCUCCAAAACCCUCACACAACCUAUCAACAUGCAAGCCAACUUUCCAAACAUGCAACUAACAUCAAACAUGCAUAAAGGAGCUUAAAAACUCAACUUAAACUCCAAUAAACAUAUCAAAUCAUCAUAGAACAUAAUCUUUAACCUAAUACCACAAAACCUAGAUCCAUGCAUAACUAACCUUAAAACUCCCAAAAUCUCUUAAAAACAUGCUUAAACAUAAAGGGGAGAGGAGGAUCCAUGCUUACCUCUUGAAGAACGAGAGGAUCAAUGGUCCAAACUUGGAGAUGGGUGGAAAACCAAAUCAAAACUCCAAGUUGCUCAACUUUGCUUAUUUUGCUCCAAAACUCUAAAACCAAGUUUAAAACAUGUAAAAACAUGCAAGAUUUGAAGAAAACUCAUAUGAACAUACCAAGGGGAAAGAGAGCUAACCUUUGGCUCAAAACAGGGGGUGCAACACCCCUGUUUUCGGCCAAGGAUGGCUUAAAUAGGUGGCCAGCCGCCUCACCUUCGGCAGCCGAACGUGCAUGCGAAACCAUGCAACCUUCGGCGGCCGAAAAUGAGCUUCGGCGGCCGAACCUGGGAAAAUUCCCUUGGCCUUUUUCUUUUCCAAAACUCAACUUUCUUAGCUCAAAACAUUAAAACCAUGAUAAUCAUAUGAGAAAACAUGUAAUUUACCCUUCUAGCAUAACCCGUCAUCUUGUGAAAUUCCUAAUUCCACAGAGAACCCGCCCAAAAGGUACGGAUUCCAAUGCCGGAGUCUAGCCGGGUAUUACAAGAACUAUAUUAAACAACUCUACUAAUCUCCCAACUAAUUUUGACCCUAUAAAUCUAGAAUUAUGAGAAAGAAAUAAACUUAUAAGAGCCUAAUAAGCAGAAAUAUAAUUAUAAAAUAAUUUAAUAAAAUAUAUGACCGUAUAAAUGUUUCACAAUACAGACAAUUCACAUUAAGAUUUGCUAAUUAAGAAAACAUAUUUUGAUUUUUUAGGUUAGUUUUGAAGAUAAGAUAGAGAUGAUGUUCUUGAAUUUUUCAAUUUUAAAAAUUUAAAAAUAUUUUAAUGGAUGACCAUUUAAUAAAGUUAUGUUUCAAUUAUUGAUUUGAAUUUAAUUUGCUUAAAAUGAUAAUAUAUAGGAUAAUUAUACCAAAAUUGAAAGUUAAGGGGCUCGAUUGGACCUAAAAAAUUUUAAAGAACUUAAUUUACUUUUGGUUAAUAAUUAAAGGGUUAAAAUUAGCUUUUUGCCUAAAAGAAAUUGGGCAGGUUUAUUUCCUUAGAAUAGGAGCAGGCAUUCAAAGGGGAAUUACAAUUUAUCACUCCAGCAAUUAUGAAUGGGUAGAAGAUUGUAAAAUUUUAGAGCGACAAACAUGUAGAAUGAAUAUGUGAGAUAGAGAAAUGUACUGACAAGGAGUGUAUUUGAAAUGAAUCAUUGAUUUCAAUAGAUUAAGAGUUUUGUUAUGAGCAAAUAGAAAAGAUAUAGUCUAAACUUUAUUUCUUUUAUGAAAGAUAAUAUUUAUUAGUUUAAUUUUCAAUUUGAGAUGAGUUUUUUAGAAUAGAUCCUAUAUCUUUGAUAAAAAAAAAAAAAAAUCCAACCUCUAAUUUUGAUACAAUGAAGGUUGACGUUGAGAAUUAACUCAAAACUAAUCUAAAAAAUGUCUAUAUAAGUACAAUUCUUAGAGGUGCCUUGGAAAUUCUAGAAUGUAGAGAUAUUAAGUAGAAUAGGUUGCACGAUAGGAAACUGUGAAGAGGGCAGAGUGGGUUAUGCAAGAAUAUUAGUAAAAUGAACUUGUUAAGGGCUGUUAUUUGAAGCUGUUAUUCUAAAAGAUGCCUCCAUUCAUAAAUCACAUGUUGAGAGAAUUGAUGACUACUCUCAUAGUGUAGAAACUUUAGACAUCAUGAAUUUCAGUGUAAGAAAAGAUACAAGAGAUAAAUCUAGCAAUUUAAGAAUAAAAAAUAGAUGUAAAUAAGGGUAACAAUGUUGAAGAGGUGGUAAUCGGUGGCAGGGAAUAUAAAUGAAGUAAAAUGAAAGAGGAGAGUGGUGGGAAGUGGGAAAGGAAAAGAGAAGAUAUAUAGUCUCACAAGAGAAAAUUAUUAAUUAUAUAAUAUUAUAACAGAGAGAUUGGAGAGCAUUUUAGUUUUUUUUUUCUUUAUAUAUAUAUAGUUUAUGCAAAUUGAUUCGAAAAGUUUAACGUUUUAAUCUAAAUUUUUUAAUUUUAGUUUAGUUAGUUUAAUUUUUACAUUCUUAUGUAAUUUUAAUUGACUUAUCAAUUUUUAAAUUUUUGGUAUAUCACAUAAUAUAUUAUUAUUAUAUAAAUUAAUGAUUAAAUUAUCAAAAAACCUAACAUUUACAUUAUUUUGUAUUUUAAUUCAAAUGUUUAAAUUUUGAUUUAAUUGAUCCAAUAUUUAUAUUUGAUUGUAAUUUUAAUUAAUUUUAAAAAUCAAAAUAUAAGAAUUCGAAUAUCAAAUGUAAUAUUUUAUUAUCUUUUAAAUAUAAACUAAUUCAAAUAAUAUUAAUUCACAUUUAAUUAUAGUUAAAUUAUAUAUUUUAUUUUAAAGUUAAUAAUAAUUUAAUAAUUAAAUAGGCUGUCUAUAUGGAUAAAUUUUAUUUUGCAUUCAUAAUUAUGAAGAAUUUAUAAUAGAUAUAUUAUUUUUAAUUAUUUUAUAUAUAUUGUUAUUUAAAUUAAAUAAUAUAUUUAUUUAAAAUUUAAACUUUUAAAUUAAAAUGUGAUGAUAUAAAUAUUAGAUUUUUUUAAUUAAUUAAUCAAUUAAAAAAUUAUAAUAAUACACGUGCCGAUUAAAUAAUUAAAUUUAAAAAUUUACAGAUGGAAUAAAAUUACAUUAAAAAUUGUAAAAAUUGAGUUAAUUAAAUUAAAAUUAAAAUAUAAAUACCUGUAAAUGUUAAAUAUUUUUAAGUCAAUUAACCUAUAAUUUAUUUUAUACAUGUCUAUAAAUAAUUAAGAAUCUAUUUAUUAUUUAAAUUGUCAAAACUACAUUUGCAUAGAUUUAAUAAUUAUAUAGUUAUUUUAUUUUAUUAUUAUUUAAAAUAUUUAAUUUGAUUAGUUAGUUAUAUUAUUUUCUAUUUAAAUUAAAUUUAAAAUUUCUUAUAAUCUAAUAUAAAAAACUAACUAAAAUUUAAAACUUCCAUUUAAAAGAUCAUCAAAAGUAUGAAUAUUUUUAAUAGUGAAUAUUUGAGUUUGUCGCUAAAAUUUAUAUAUUAUAAAUUUACAUUAAUAUUAUUAAUAAUAAAAUAAAUAACAAAUAAAAUUUAAAAUGCAAAAUAUAUUUAGUGAAUUUAACAUUUCAAAAUUUUAUUAUUUUGCAAUAAUUUAUAUUAAUUUUUUAUGAUAUUAAUUAAAUUUGUAAUAUUAUUCAAAUAAAAUGUUAAAAUAAAAAUGUGCUAAACAGUUCUCAUGAGAGUUAGAGUUAAGCUUUGUAAAAAAAUUAAUUUUUAUUAGACUAAAAUAAAGUAAUUAAUAAUAAAAAAAUUAUAUAAAGUUAGUCAUUUUAAAUUUCUAAUUAUAUUAGAGUAAAAUUAAACAAUAAACUUUUUUUUCUCAUCUAUAUUAUACACAAUUAGACUAUAAUAAUAUUUUAAAAAAUGUAUAUUGCUAAUUAUUUAUUAAAUAAGGAAUAUUGUUUAAUAAAAUAAAAAUCAAUAUUCUACAAUUAUAUUAAUAAAUUUUAUUUAAAAAAAUAAAAUUAACAAAAUUAAUUAAUUUUUAACUAAAUUUAAUUAAAUAUAAAGUAAUGUUAUAAUAAUUUAAUAUUAUUAUUAAAUUUGGAUCAGGCCUAACUCACUCCAAAAGCUAGCUCAAGAGGGAGGAUUGUCUAUGACCCUUAUAAGGGGCACAUUAUCCUUUUCCACAACCGAUGUGGGAUUCUACAACCGAUGUGGGAUUCUACAACCGAUGUGGGAUUCAACACACCCCUCUCACGCCCAGAAUUUUACUGGUGCGUGACACAUUUAUAGGAGGCCCAAUAUCGAAUGGGGAGGCUCUGAUACCAUAUUAAAUUUGAAUCAGGCCUAACUCACCCCAAAAGGUAGCUCAAGGGAAAGAAUUGCCUAUUAUUCAUAUAAGGGGCACAUUACCCCUUUCCACAAUUGACGUGGGAUUCAACAAUUAUAAUAAUAUAAAAGAAAAUUUAUUUAGUUAUUCAAAAUGAAUUUAAUACAAUAUUGUAUACAAAAUUAAUAUAAAAAUUUAUUUAGUUAUUCAAAAUGAAUUUAAUACAAUAUUGUAUACAAAAUUAAUAUAUAUACAAUAUUAACGUACACAAUAUCUGGAAAUAUGAAGUUAAAAAAAAUUAUGAAAAAUAAAUUUAAAUUUUUUUAAAAUUUUAGGCUAAUUAAACUAUAUAAUUUUAUUAAAGGCUAAAUAGAUUCUAACUUAAUAUUAUUUUUAUAAUUUAAAACAUUAAAAAAUUUUAUAUUUUAAUUAUUAUAAAAUUUUUUAAAAAUAUAUAAAUAUAAUAAAUAAUUUUUAUAAUUAUAAAAAUAAAUUUUUAUUAUAUAAAAAUUAUUUUUAUUAUUAAAAAAUAAUAUUAUAUUAUUAAAAAAAUUAUAUUACGUUAGAUUAUGACUUAUUUGAUUCUUAGCAAUAAUAUAUAGACUUAAUUGAUUCAAAAUUUUGAAUUAAGAUUAUUUGACUCUUAAAAAAAGGUAGAGGCUUUACCAGCUGGCAGAGAGCCUUCUUUUUCCGAUUCUCUAUUUCCUUUCCUCAUUCCCAAUCUCCGAUCCAUCCCUAAAAACAACUGACGAGAGAUCGAUGAUGAUGAAGAUGCCUUGGAGGAGGAAGAGCAGGAGCUUCCAUCUUCAGCUACAAGGGGCAAUUGGUACCAUUCAAUCUCCAUUCCUAUUCUUAUUUACCAAUUAUUGCCAUUCUUCUACUUCCACACUUCAAGAUGCACGCUUCUUGACAAAUAAUUUCAAAUCUGCUUCUUUUACCCACCUUGAUGAUGCCAUUGCUUCCUUCAAUCAUGUAAUUCAUAAGCAUCCUCUGCCUUCUAGGAUUCCAUUUAAUAGAUUCUUAUCUGCCCUUGUGAAAAUGAAACAAUAUCACACUGUCCUUUCCAUGUCCAAAACAAUUGAAUUGCUAGGAAUCACUCACGAUGUUUAUUCUCUUAACAUCUUAAUUAAUUGCUUCUGCCGUUUACAUCUUGUGGAUUUUGGCUUCUCUGUUUUCGGAAAGAUGUUCAAAUUCGGAUUGGAGCCUACCACUGUGACAUUUACUACCUUAAUUAAUGGGCUUUGUAUAGAGAGUAAAAUGGACAAAGCAGUGGAAUUUUUCGAUGAUAUGCUUGCACGUGGUUAUCAACCUAAUGUUUAUACUUUCAAUGUGAUAGUAAAGGGAUUGUGUAAAUUUGGGAAAACAAAUCUGGCUAUUGAGCUACUAAAGGAAAUGGCUGAUAGAGGUUGUGAGCCAGAUGUGACAUACAAUGCAAUCAUUGACACACUUUGCAAAGAUGAGCUAGUUGGUGAGGCUUUAGAGCUCUUCUCUCAAAUGAGGAAUAAGGGCAUUUCACCUAAUGUCAUCACUUACACUAGUUUAAUUCAUGGUGCUUGCAAAUUAGGCCAAAAGAACCAAGCUUUGGCCUUGAUGAAUGAAAUGGUGGAGCAGAACAUAUUACCAAAUGUUUAUACCUUCAGUGUAUUGAUUGAUGCUCUUUGUAAGGAUGGAAUGGUUUCAGAGGCUCAAAAUACAUUCAAUGUAAUGAUUCAAAGAGGUGUAGAGCCUGAUGUGGUCACCUACAAUUCCUUAAUUGAUGGUCUUUGCAUUUCAGACCAAUUCCAGGAAGCUUUGGCCUUGUUGAAAGAAAUGGUGGGGAGGAACAUAUCCCCUGAUGUUUUUACCUUCAAUAUAUUGAUCGACACUCUUUGUAAGAAAGGACUGGUUUCAAAUGCACAGAAUAUAAUCAAGAUAAUGAUUCAAAGAGGUGUGGAACCUGAUGUUGUCAAUUAUAAUUCGUUGAUGGAUGGAUAUUGUCUGCGCAAGCAAAUUGAUAAGGCUAGAAAGCUAUUUGAUCUGAUGGUGACAAAUGAAAUAGCUAACAUUUUUAGUUACAACAUUUUGAUCAAUGGAUAUUGUAAGUGCAAAAUGAUAGAUGAUGCAAAGGAUAUUUUUGUUGAAAUGUCUCAUAAAGGUUUAGUUCCUGGUGUUGUUACUUAUUCUACUCUUAUAGAGGGUAUGUUUCAAGCAGGGAGGCCCCAAACUGCACAGGAGCUCUUUAAGAAUAUGUGCUCUCACGGUCAACAGCCAAAUAUAGUAACCUUCUCAAUUAUGAUUAAUGGCUUGUGUAGUCAGGGGAAUCUCGAUGAAGCACUCACCCUAUUGAAAAAAAUGGAGGAAAGUCAGUUAAAGCCUAAUCUUGUGACCUAUUGCAUUCUGAUCAAUGGUAUGUGCAAAGCUGGCAAGAUUAAUGAUGCCAAGGAACUGUUUUCUAGUCUUUUUGAAAAUGAUUUACAACCUAAUGUUCAUAAAUAUAGUGCAAUUAUGAAAGGACUCUGCCGAGAAGGAUUAAUAGUCGAAGCAUAUAAGAUUUUUAGAGACAUGGAAAAGGGAGGAUGUUUACCGAAUAGUUGUUGUUAUAAUAUCAUCAUUCAAGGGUUUCUCAAGCAUGAGGAUUUACCAAAAGCAUCAGAACUAAUCAAUGAAAUGGUUGACAAGGGAUUCUCUGCCGAUGCUACUACCACCGAAUUGGUAGUACGUUUAUUGUGCAAUGAUGAUCUCAUUCUGAGGCUUUUAAAGGUGCGCAAUGAGGGAUCAGCAAACUAAACUUGUUAUAUCUUGACCGAAUGUGUGUCUUGGAGCGCAACUUGGUAAUUACCUUUUUCAAAUGUAAUAGAUAUGUAAUUUAACUAACUUCUUCAAAUAUCAUUUUUAAUUUCAAUCAGCUGUGAUUCUCUUCCACAAAAUGAUAAUUUCUAACACUGCAAAUGACCUGUGGUGGAAACCAUGAUAUGUGUGUGCCUUUCGCUUGAAUUCAGACAUGGACUUGAUCUCUUUGAUAUAAGAUUGUUGAUGAAUGGAGGUCAUGGAUUUCUAAUGAUCAAGUUGCUGGUAAACCCACCAUCUCCUUUACAAUUUUUUUUGGUUGCUACUACAGCCUUAACUCGAGAGCUCAGUCCUAAAAUUGAGUUGAGAACUAAAACUAAUUGGUUCCAUACUACAAUGCUUAAGAAUCUUUAUCUAUUUUUAUUUUUGUGCUCAAUGACCUUUUAAAAUGCUAUCAUUUCUCUUGUAGGUACUUGCAACGAUAUGAUUACAACUUCACCUUUCUAACAAUAAAGGUAUAAGCAAUUCAUUUUUGCUUAGUUAUUGUAAUUUUUAAUAAUAAUGAAACUAAUGAUUAUAAACCAGUGUGCUUUAAUUGAGAAUUGAUUUAACAAUUAGACUACACUAUAAAUGCAGGGUGCAGGAUAGACAGUCCCAGAGUACAAGGUAAGAGAAUCACCAGACUUCUAUAGCUGUUGGUUGGAUGAAAUGUCACUAAAAUUACACACAACAGAAAAUGUUAUGGGAAUUGAGGGAAAAGCAAAAGAAGAGGAUGAAAAUCAGACAUAUGCAGCCACUAAGACAAGCAACUGCAAUUGGUCCUACUAGCGAUUGGAAUGCUAGUUUAGCUUCAGUUAUUUAACAGGACUUUUUGUCCAAAUUUAUUUAUGAACAAGUUCAUAAAAGGCAGGUUAGCUCUAUAUAUAACACAGGUAUAAUCAAAGAAGGUGGCAGGAAAAAAGGCAGGAAAAAUGUCAAUGCAAAGAAACUUCAUCUGAUUAAAUGGAAUACUCUUUCGUUGCCUAAAAAGAAAGGUGGCUUAGGCAUGAAAGAGAUCUCUCUUCAAAUUCAAGCUCUUUUGUUCAAAUGGCUUUGCAGAUUUGAAAAUCAUAGGGGUUCACUAAGUUCAACUUCUUCUAUCCAAAUAUUCUUUCAAUUUGGAGAAGGGUAUCUCUCUUGCUCCAGGAAAUUGCAUUUCUUCCCUCCAGAAAGACAUUCCAGCUAAUUAAAUUAUUAAUAAGUAAAAAAAUUAAAUUAUUAAUAAAUCUUUAUUUUUAUUAAAAUUAACUGUUUAAUCUCUAUUUCUAAAUCGCUCAAUUAAAACAUUUUGAAUUUUAUAAAGUCAAACUCUUCAAUAUUUUUAUCGAAUAAAAUAUUAGUAAAUAUAUUUUUAAUUUUAAUUAGAAAAAUUAAAUUAUAUAUAUAAAAUUAAAAAAUAAAAAAAAAAUAUUUAAUCAAAUAACAUAGAAAUAAAAAAAAUUAAACAGUCCAUUUUAAUAAAAUAUAAAAAUCAAAUAAUAAUCCGCUCUUUUAUAGUUUAAAGUAAUUUUUUGGAUACUUCAUAGCAAAUUCUCAAUAAUUUUACCAAUUAUAUCUACCAUUUAUAUACGUCUUUUUUCAAGUUUUAUUUUUUUUUCUAUUCAUGCAUUGCAUUGAUUUUUAUUUCUUAUGAGAAUUGCUGGCAAAAUAAUAUUGUAUUGUAGGAUGCUUUAUGAACGGUAGAUGUUAAAAAUAUAAAAUAAAAACUAGUUUAUUAAUUGUUGAUAAGCCUAUGUACCAAUAAGCAAAUUAAUUUCUUAAUUCACUUUCUACACGCUUGCACUCAUAAAUAUUGGGGUGAGCAGUCGAUCGAAUCGAAUUAAUUUAAAAAUUCGGUUCAGUUUUUUAUUUAUUUUGAUUCGGUUCGAUUUUUAAUUUUAGAAAUUUCAGUUGUUUCGGUUCAGUUCGAUUUUGAUCAGAAAAAAAUCGAAAAAACUGAACCGAAUCGAUUAGUGAUAAUAAUAUAUUUUUUUCAAUAAUAUAAAAAAAUUAAAUCAUAUUAAGAUUAAAAUAUUUUAAUUAAAUUUUAAAAUACUAAAAAUAAAGUGAAAAAAAUAAAAAAUUUAUUAAAAAUCAAAACCGAUUAAAUCGAACUGAAUCAAAUCGAUUUAAUUCGUUUAGUUUCUGACUAAAAUAAAUUCGGUUUGAUUUUUAUAAAAACUAAAAAUUUCAAUUUUCAAUUUAUUCGAUUCAGUUCAAUUUUAAACCGAACUGACCGAAUGCUCAUCUCUACAUAUAUGUAUACUUGCUAUUCGUUUUACACUAAACCCUUGAAAAAAAUUAAUAUAAAAAUAUACUCACAAAUUUAGUCUAGUGGUAAUUACAUCUAAGUAAAUAUGAUGAGUGAUGUCAGAUCCUACUUUCUCAAUCUUUAAUUCUUAUUUCAAAAAAAAUUAAUAUAGAAAUUAAGACUUUAUUUAUUUUAUAAAAAAUAUUUUAUAAAAAUAUUACUCUAUAAGAAAUAUAGUUUAAUAAUAAAAAAAUUAUUAAUUUAAGGUGCUGACUUCAUAUUUUUUAUUUUUUAUUUUUUCAAAAAUUAAUUAUAUAAAAAUAAGUAUAAAUUUUUAUAUAAUGGUAAGAAAUAAUAUAAUUUUUUUUAAAAUAUGAUAUUUAAUAGUAAAAUAAUAGUAUAAAUAAUUUUAUAAAUGACUAUAUAUAAAAAUAUUAAUAAAUUAUCUUUACACAGUAUAUAAUGUUAUAAUAAAAAAUUAUUAUUCGAUAAUUGUCAUAUAAAAAAUUUAUUAGUUAAUUUUUUAAUUUUAAAAAAUACAUUAAAAGUUUAUGAAAUUUUAAAAAGUCUACCGAUGAGUCCUUACGUUAAUUUUAGCCGCUAAGUAUUAUAAAAAUAAAAAGUACUAUUUAAUCUUUAUAAUAUAAGAAAACUCACAAAUUAAUUUAUUGAUUUUGAAAAAUAUAUUAAGAUAUUUCUAAUUUUAAAAAAUUCACUCAUUAAUCUCUUCAUUAAUUUUAGUUGUUUAGUUUUAUAAAAAAAAAAUUUAAUGUUUUAAUAUGAAAGAACUAAUUAGUAAAUAUUUUUAUAAAAUUGAGAGAUCAACUAAUAAAUUUUCUCUUACUACAUAAAUUAAAUAGUAAAAUAUUUAAUAGGUGAAAUUAAUAAAAUAAUUAAUUAAUAUAUUUUUAGUAUUUUAUGGAUGCUUUAAUGUUUUUUUUUUAAAAUAAAGUGACUAACUAAUUUAUUCUUCUAUAUCAUAAAGAUUAAAUAAUAAAUUUUACUUAUAAAAAGAUUUAAAAUAUCUUCAAUAUGAAUGUACUAAUUAAUAGGUAUUUUUAUAAAAUUAAAAAAUUAAUUAAUAAAUUUUUAAUAUUACAGAAAUUAAAUAAUAAAAUAUUUAAUAAUUAAAAUUAAUAAAAUGACUAAUUAAUAUAUUUUUUAAAAUUUAAAGGAUUUUUUAUUUUAUUUUUUAAAAUUAAAAAUCAAUUAAAAAUUUUUUAUAUUACAAUAAUUAAAUAAUAAAUUUUCCUUAUGAUAAUAAAAUAAAAAUAUAUUUUAUAAAUUAAUUAAUUAAAUAUUUAUUUAAUAAUAUGAAUUUAACUGAUGAGAUAAAAUUUUAAAAUUUUUAACGUAAUUUAAUAAAAAUUAUUAAAAAAAGGAAGCGCAAUGAUAACAAAUAUAUUUUUAAUUUUUUUUUUGUUAAUGAUACAUAUAUAACUAUUAAUAAUAUAAGUUAUUAAAAUAAAAAUAAAUAUUUUUUUUAAAUUUCAUAUCAAAAAAAAUAUCACCUAAAACUACUAUAAAUUAAUAAGUAAUAUAAUUUAUAAACCAUAUAAAUUUACUAUAAGUACAAAUUGAACUUCUCAUUUUUACUGAAAAUAUUAUAUAUUUAAUUAUUAUUAAUAUUUAAUUAUUUUUAAUUAUUAUUAUAUUUUAAAUUUAUUAUACAAGAAAGUAAUAAUUCUUUAUUUAAAUUAUAACAACAACUUUUAUUGUUAUUAAAAUUUUUUAUCAUCAUAUUAAUUAUUAUUAAAAAAAUAAAUUUAUUGUCAUUAUUAUCGAUUUAAUAAUUAAUUAUAGUGUGUCGUAAUUUUUAAUGAUAAAACUUUUCAUGACAACUUAACGACCAAAUAAAAUGAUUGUUAAUUAUUUUUAAUAAUUAAUUUUUAAUAUUUAAUGAUAAUUUUAAUGAUAAAACUUUUAAAUUAUAAGUAAAAUAUAUGAAAGUACUUAACUCACUCAAGAAAAUUUUAUCUAUAUUAUACAUGUAUAUCAUAAAAUUAGAAGUAAUAUUUGCUAAUUAAUGAUAAACUAUUAUAUGUAAUGUCAUGUCAUUUCAUAUUUUUUAACGAUAUGUAUUUGUAGGAUUCUAAACUUUAAAAAAGUGCCAUAAUAUAUUUGAAUUAUUUAUAAGGUUUCAUGACAUACCUGAAUUAUUUAUAAGUGAAAUUAAAAUAGUUUUACAAUUUUAAUAUAACAUGAAGCUUUUACGGUAAGAAGAUUUUUUUUUAUUAUUGUAAAAAAUAUAUAGUGAGUUUCAAAUUCAAAAUUUAUGCAUUGUGUAUAAUUUUAUUAUUAUUAAGUAAUUAUUAAAGGUGAAAUUAGAUAAUAAUUUGAUUUUUGUUGUAACGAUCUAAUAAUCAGACCGUUAUUGGUACUAGGGUUCAAAUCGACUUAAGGUCGUCAGGAUUUGUAUCAAGUCUACUAUACAUUCUGCUAUAUCUAAUAAAAUUUCAUAUAUGAUCACAAGAUUUAACAAAAUAUAGACAUUUCAUGAACCAAGACUCGACUUGUAUAUGUAUUAAAAUUGAAAUCAUAAAAUUCAUACUAAAACUCUCAUCAAAUACUUCAGUAUAGUCAACAAAACAUGACUCAAACUCAGUUUAAAUAUAACUCAUAAUUAAAAUUUUUAUAUAAGGAUCAUGCAAAUAAGGAUUUACAAAUACAAAUACUAGGGCAAAACACAAUUCUAAAUCAUCAAAUAAUAUAUGUCCACAUCUAUACUAUUAUAAUAGACUAUACCAGUAAUUCAGUCGUUAUUUAUUUCAUCAUUUUAAUUACGUUAUUUUCUUCUUUAAUCUUUCUUUUUAAAUCAAUUUAUCCAAUAAUAAUUUUUUUAAACUUUUCUUUUAUCCUACCUAUCAUCUAAUUUAAAUGAAGUUAAAGUAUUUAUAGAUACAUUUGUUUACCCUAUCGGCAUAUUUUUUUAAAUUAAGUAAAAGACAAUCAGUUUUGAUUAAUGAAUUCAAUGUCUAUUUGUAUCCAUUGAAUUUUACAAAUGAAUUUUAUAUUUAUUCAGAUAUAUGUUUGUUUAAUUUUAUAAAUAUAUUAUAUAUCUAUUUAUAAAUUAAAUUGUGUUUAUUUAAUUUUAUAGAUGUAUCACUCGGUUUGCGAAUACAUUUAUGUCUAAUGCUAAAUAUGUAAAAAAAAAUCAAUAUAACAAUUCUAUAUUUAAUCUUUAUGUUAAUUUACAUUUCAAUUAAAUAUAUUUAUUUUUUAAUUUCAAUUUAAUACUUAAUGAGUUACAAAACUCACUAUUUUUUUAUAUUAAAUUCCAUUUUAUUAUGAUUUUGAUAUAAAUAAUUAAUUUUUACUUAAUUUGAAGCGAAAAUGAAAAAAAACAAAAAAUACUGUUUUAAAGCUUUUUUUUAUUAUAAGGUACAACCUUAUCUAAAAUUGUGACCCAACUUGGAUGGCUAUAUUGCGGUCUUUCUGGUUGCCAGUAAUAAAGAGUUCAAAACUAUUUUUAAAUAGAUGCAAAUACAAUCAUAUUAAGAUUAAGAUAAGAGUUAUCUAGUAGAUUUAUUUUAUUUUUUCUUUUAAACGGCGAAUAAUUAUUCUUUUAUUUAGGAAAAUCCUAUAUAAAUGCCACUUUAGAAGUAGAUCUCUCAUCUCUUCUCCUCUUGCCCACACCCUCUUUUCAGUUUCUCUUUGGCCGAGCCUCCUUCCCCUUUUCUUUUAUUUUCUGCAAUUUUAUUAUAACCUUUAUAGGCUAAACUCUUUUUUUAGUUGAAGGUUAAUCAAGUUAAUAUUUAAUUAAGUCGUAAGAUUUAGUUCUUAUUUCUAUUCAUCUGAAUUUCUUUUUUCAAUUAAUUUCUAUUUUCGAGUAAUACCAUCUCCAUUACUGUUCUUUAGAAAUUUAAAAGGUUUAUUAAAUCUCUUAGAAAGAAAACAUAUUGCUAAUUAACUCCAAGUAAAUAUGAAAUUAUUUUAUUGUAUUAAUAUAAAUAAUAAUUAGCAUAUUUCUUUAUAUUAAGAAAUUAAUUAAUUUGGUUUAAAUAAUUCAUUUGCUAUUAUCGAUCAAGUUUGAGUUCUUCUCUUCUUAAAACUGUUAAUUAAUUAAAUUUACACGCUUAUGAAAUUAUUAAUUAACUAAAAAAUUAAUUUAAAUGCUAUACAGAUUAAUUUAAUCUUAAGAAAUAAUAGGUGAAAUUUGCUUAUUUAAACACUAUAAUAAAAUAAUAAACAAUCGAGUGAAUAUCUUUUUAAUUAAUGAUGGGUUGCAAAUUUAUUAAUUUUAAUUACUUUCAACUGAAUUUUAAUUUGAUUAUUUAUUUUAUCAUUUUAAUUAUAAUAUUUUAUUUCUUCUUUAGUUUAUUUUUAAAAUCAACUUCUAAUUUUAUUAUUAUCUCUUUUAUUUCAAAUAGUUCUUUUUUUCUCAAUUUUCAUAAAUAUUAAACAAUUUUAAAAUAUAUGUGAAAUCAAUACUUAUUUAACUCCAAAAUUUUUUAAAUUAAAAAAAUUAAUUUUAAAUUGAUAGAUUUGACGAUUGUAAAUAAAUUUUUAAUUUUAAUUUCUAUUCCAUUUAUAUUCAUUUAAAUUAAUCAAUAAAUUUUAAAUUUUAUAAAUUCACCCUCUAAUUUAAACUUUAAUAUUUUUAAACUUAAACUUAUUAUUAAAAUUUUAUCCCAAUCUUUUCAAUUGUAAUUAAAUUUAUUUAUAAAUUAAUUUUUAAUUAAAAACACAUAAAAAAUAAAUAAUGAAAAACUGGAGAAACCUCUAUUUUAAUCAAUUUUUUUUAAUUAGUUAAAUUUUCUUGUGAAAUACUAAUUUUUUUCGUGGUGAAAUUGUUAAUGGUUUUUUAAUUUAAUAGAAAUAUCAAGUAGGUUAAAAAAAUUAUGAAAAUAAAUUUAAUUAAAUCUCUUUUAUUAAGAGUCAAAUAUAUUCAAUUUAAAAUUUUUAAAAUUUUAAGUCAAUUAAAUUAUAUCAUUUUAUUAAGGGCUAAAUAGAUUUUAAUUUAAUAUUAUUUUUUAAUAAUAAAAUAUUAUUUUUAUAAUUUAAAAUAUUAAAAAUUUAAUAUUUAAUUAUUAUAAAAAAUUUUAAAAUAUAUAAACAUAAUAAAUAAUUUCUAAAAUUAUAAAAAAAUUUAUCAUAUAAAAAAUAUUUUUAUUAUUAAAAAUAAUAUUAUCUUAAAUUAUAAUUUAUUUGACUUUUGAGUAAUAGUAUAUAAACUUAAUUGAUUCAAAAUUUUGAAUUAAGAUUAUUUGACUGUAAAGACUUAAUUGGAUUUAUACUUAACAAAUUAUUAUUAUAAAAUAAUAAAUUUAAUUUGUUAUUAAAUAAUAUUUUUAUAUGAAAAAUUAAUUAAAAAAAUUACAAAAUGUGGUGCAUAUAAACAAUUAGUAAUGCAUUUCCUUUUGUUAUCCUUACCACUUUACCAGCUGGCACAGAGCCUUCCUUUUCCGAUUCUCUAUUUCCUUUCCUCAUUCCCAAUCUCCGAUCCAUCCCUAAAAGCAACUGACGAGAGAUCGAUGAUGAUGAAGAUGCCUUGGGAGGAGGAAGAGCAGGAGCUUCCAUCUUCAGCUACAAGGGGCAAUUGGUACCAUUCAAUCUCCAUUCCUAUUCUUAUUUACCAAUUAUUGCCAUUCUUCUACUUCCACACUUGAAGAUGCACGCUUCUUCACAAAUAACUUCAAAUCUGCUUCUUUUACCCGCCUUCAUGAUGCCAUUACUUCCUUUAAUCAUGUAAUUCAUAUGAAUCCUCUGCCUUCUAGGGUUCAUUUUAAUAGAUUCUUAUCUGCCCUCCUGAAAAUGAAUCAAUAUCACACUGUCUUUUCCAUGUCCAAAACAAUUGAAUUGCUAGGAAUCUCACACGAUGUUUAUUCUCUUAGCAUCUUAAUUAAUUGCUUCUGCCACUUACACCUUGUGGAUUUUGGCUUCUCUGUUUUUGGUAAGAUGCUCAAAUUCGGAUUGGAGCCUGACGUUGUGACAUUUACUACCUUAAUUAAUGGGCUUUGUAUAGAGAAUAAAAUGGACAAAGCAGAAUUGAGAGAAUACCUCCAUUCAUAAAUCACAUGUUGAGAGAAUUGAUGACUACUCUCAUAGUGUAGAAACUUUAGACAUCAUGAAUCUCAGUGUAAGAAAAGGCACAAAAGAUAAAUCUAGUAAUUUAAGAAUAAAAGAAUAGAUGGAAAUAAGCGUGACAAUGUUGAAGAGGUGGUAACGGUGGCAGGGAAUAUAAAUGAAGGAAAAUGGAAGAGUAGAGUGGUAGGAAGUGUGAAAGGAAAAGAGAAGAUAUAUAGUCCUACAAGAGAAAAUUAUUAAUUAUAUAAUAUUAUAACAGAGAGAUUGGAGUGCAUUUUAAUUUUUUUUCUUUAUAUAUAUAAUUUAUGUGAAUUGAUUCGAAAAGUUUAACGUUUGUAAUAUUAACAUUUUAAUUUUAAUUUUUUAAUUUUAGUUUAAUUAGUUUAAAUUUUACGUUCUUAUGUAAUUUUAAUUUACUUAUAAUUUUUAAAUUUCUGGUAUAUCACAUAAUUUAUUAUUAUUAUUAUUAUUAUUAUUAUUAUUAUUAUUAAUGAUUAAAUUAUCAAAAAAUUUAACAUUUAUAUUAUUUUGUAUUUUAAUUCAAAUGUUUAAAUUUUAAUUUAAUUAGCCCAAUAUAUAUAUUUGAUUGUAAUUUUAAUCAAUUUUAAAAAUCAAAAUAUAAGAAUUCGAAUAUCAAAUGUAAUAUUUUAUUAUUUUUUAAAUAUAAACUAAUUCAAAUAAUAUUAACUCAAUUUAAUUAUAGUUAAAUUAUAUAUUUAAUUUAAAAAAAUAAUAAUUUAAUGAUCAAAUAGAUCGUUUAUAUUGAUAGAUUUUAUUUUGCAUUGAUAGUUAUGAGAAAUUUAUAAUAAAUAUAUUAUUUUUAAUUAUUUUAUAUAUCCUGUUAUUUUAAAUUAAAUAAUAUAUUUACUAUAAAAUAUUUAUAAUUAUUAUUAUAAAAUAAAAUUUAUCAUAGUAGAAAACGUAAAUUAUAUAUUUAAUAAUUAAAUUAUUUAUUUUAAUUGGUCAAAAUUAUACUCAAACAUAAAUAUUGAAUCAAUUUAUUUAAAAUUUACACAUUUGAAUUAAAAUAUAAUAGUAUAAAUAUUAGAUUUUUUUAAUUAAUUAAUCAAUCAAAAAAUUUAUAAUAAUACACGUGUCAGCUAAAUAAUUAAAUUUAAAAGUUCACAGAUUAGAUAAAAUUACAUUAAAAUGUAAAAAUUGAGUUAAUUAAAUUAAAAUUAAAAAAUUAAAAUAUAAAUAUAAAUACAUGUAAAUAUUAAAUAUUUUUAAGUCAAUUAACCUAUAGUUUAUUUUAUACAUGUCUAUAAAUAAUAGUUUUAAAAUUCAAGAUAUACAAAAUGAUAAAUAAUUAAGAAUCUAUUUAUUAUUUAAAUUGUCAAAACUACAUUUGCAUAGAUUUAAUGAUCUCAUUCUGAGGCUUUUAAAGGUGCGCAAUGAGGAAUCAGCAAACUAAAGUUGUUAUAUCUUGACCAUUUAAGUGUGUCUUGGAGUGCAACUUAAUAAUUACCUUUUUCAAAUAUAAUAGAUAUGUAAUUUAACUAACUUCUUCAAAUAUCAUUUUUAAUUUCAAUCAGCUGUGAUUCUCUUCCAUAAAACGAAAAUUUCUAACACUGCAAAUUACCUGUGGUGGAAACCAUGAUAUGUGUGUGCCUUUCGCUUGAAUUGAGACAUGGACUAGAUCUCUUUGAUAUAAGAUUGUUGAUGAAUGGAGGUCAUGGAUUUCUAAUCAUCAAGUUGCUGGUAAACCCACCAUUUCCAUUACAAUUUUUUUUGCCUGCUACUACAGCCUUUACUCGAGAGCUCAGUUCUAAAUUUGAGUUGAGAACUAAAACUAAUUGGUUCCAUACUACAAUGCCUAAGAAUCUUUAUCUAUUUUUGUUUUUGUGCUCAAUGACCUUUCAAAAUGCUAUCAUUUCUUUUGCAGGUACUUGCAAGGAUAUGACUAUAACUUCACCUUCCUAACCAUAAAGGUAUAAGCAAUUCUUUUUUGCUUAAUUAUUAUAUUUUUAAUAAUAAUGAAAAUAAUGAUUAUAGACCAGUAUGCUUUAAUUGAGAAUUGAUUUAACAAUUAGACUACACUAUAAAUGCAGGGUGCAGGAUAGACAGUCCCAGAGUACAAGGUAAGAGAAUCACUGGACUUCUACAGCUGUUGGUUGGAUGAAAUGUCACUAAAAUUAUAGACAACAGAAAAUGUUAUGGGAAUUGAAGGAAAAGCCAACAUCGUCUUUGUCACCUUUUCUUUUUCUAGUCAUCAAGUUGGGUAUAUAUAUAUAUAUAUAUAUCCUUAAUUUCUUUUAUUUUCCUUCAAGUCAAAUUAGUGAAAUCAUUGCAUUAGCAUCUAAUAAUGUGAAGGUCACAAUCUUUUCCAAUGAAAUCAUUUUUUUAACAUGAAAUUUGAAUUUUAGAAAUGCUUGUGGAAGGUAUAUAUAUAUUCUUCCCUUUGAGAUUCUUUACUUUGUGCCAAGUUGUUUGGAUGUGUAACUGGCGAUUAAAUGUUGAUAGUUAAUAGCAAUAGCUAUCAAAUAAAGCGAGUCCAUUUAAGGAUAUGAUUAAAUCACUUUGCUUGGCGUAAUGCAACUAUUUUGAAACUGCUUUCUAAAUUAACCAAACCUCUAUUGUAUGAUUUGUAUCCUGCUGAAGCCAAGGUACAAGUGUAGUGGUUGAGAAAUCUGCCAUUUUUUUUUAGUUUUUUGUUUGACAGAAAAUCUACCAAUUUAAGUUGUUGAAACUGUUGAAUCUUGUGAUAGUAAAUUAUUCAGAUCCUUCUGCUCUUCAAAACUCAGAUAAUCCAAGUAGGAUUCUCAUAUCUGCACCCUUAAAUUUAGUAAAUUAUUCGACUUGGAGUAUGUCUAUGACUAUGACACUUGCUUUAAAGAAAGAUUUGGGCAACUUAUACACCAAUUAAAGAAAGAAAUAAAUCAAGAAUCUAUAUCAGUUGUUGUUUACUUUAGAAAAUUGAAGAAACUAUGGGAUAAACUUGGUGUUUUAAAGCAUCAUCAAAGAUAUGAGUUUGUUUUUAGUAUAAUUCUAUGUUCAGCCUCCUCAUUCUUAAAAGAAAAGUUAGGAAGUUAGAAAGUUGGGAGUGGAGGAAAGAGUUUCAUAUAGAUUUUGUGACUUUUGGAAAGCUUUUGGGCGUGUUAGAGAUACUUGCUGAUUGGUUUAGAAAUUAUAAGCAAAAGAAGAGGAUGAAAAUCAGACAUAUGCAAGCCACUGAGACAAGCAACUGCAAUUGGUCCUGCUAGCGAUUGGAAUGCUAGUUUAGCUUCAGCUAUUUAACAGGACUUUUUGUCCAAAUUUAUUUAUGAACAAGUUCAUAAUAGGCAGGUUAGCUCUAUAUAUAACACAGCUAUAAUCAAAGAAGGGGGCAGGAAAAAUGUCAAUACAAAGAAACUUCAUCUGAUUAAAUGGAAUACUCUUUUGUUGCCUAAAAAGAAUGGAGGCUUAGGCAUGAAAGAGAUCUCUCUUCAAAUUCACGCUCUUUUGUUCAAAUGGCUUUGGAGAUUUGAAAAUCAUAGGGAUUCACUCUGAGUUCAACUUCUUCUAUCCAAAUAUUCUUUCAAUUUGGAGAAGGGUAUCUCUCUUGCUCCAGGAAAUUGCAUUUCUUCCCUUCAGAAAGACAUUCGAGGCUAUGCUACUUUCGAUGAACUCUUCCUUCUCUCCUUUAAUUCAUAUCAGAUUUGCUGUGGGGAAUGAGAUGAAAAUGAAAUUUUGGAAUGAAAGACGAUCGGUUGGUAAUAUUGCUCUCAAAUUCUCCUUUAGUGGACUAUUAAAUUUAGCAGCUAACCUAGUUGUGUUGAUGUUAAAUAUGGGGUGUUGGGUGAAGAACAAAUGGGAAUGGGAAAUAAUUGAAUUGUCAAAAUUAUACUUGUCAAAAUCUCGAAUGUGAUUGAUCCUGGUAACCUGCAUCCCUUUCUUCUUUCUAUGAUUGAGCGUUUAUAAAUGAGCAAGGUCUGUCUACUAACAGUAACUCAUAUGCAUCCUUUGCCUUGUAGGCUCAAUUUAAUAGAUUCUUAUUUGCCCUUGUGAAAAUGCCACGCAACAAUAUUACGUACUUUGUCAUUUCCUUGUUUAAAACAACUGAAUUGUUGAUAUUUAAUAGAUUCUUAAAUGUUUCUUUUUCCAUUUACACCUUGUGGAUUUUGGCUUCUUUGCUUUUCGGAAAUUUAUAUAUAUAUAUAUAUAUAUAUAUAUAUUUGAAAAAGAUAAAAAUUGAAUACAACUCAAUAGUCUCAAUCAACUCUCCAAGCUGAAACAUGUUAUAUUUCAUUUAAAAGAAUGAAUUGAUCAACUCUUAUUUUUAUAUUUUUGAAAGAAAUAAAAAUUGAGUACAACUGAUAGAGAAGUAGUCUUAACCAACUCUUCAAUUCUUCUGAUAUAAUUUGUUUAAUUGUUCUUCUUCACUGCUUUAAUUUGCAACUUUUUUUAAACCAAUUAAUAAACUAAUUUAUAUAAAUUGAAUCCCAAUUACUCUUCUCCAGUAUAAAAUUUCCUUUCAAGUUCUCUCACUCUCAAACCUUUCAUUAACUUAGAAAAUUUUGAUCAAUAAUGCUAUCGUGGGAAGCUUCUAGCAGGAAAAUGAAUUCUCUUUUCAAGAUUUUAAGUCAAUGUUAUGCAAUCAAAUUAUUACUUUCCAAUUCGACCGAUUAGAAAGCUAAAAUCCUAUAAAUUUAAAGAGGCUAUGUAGCCAUAUAUGUGGGUGACGAAGACAAAAGAUAUCAAGUUUCAGUGGAAAAUCUCAAGUUUUCUGCAUUACAAGAAAAUUGCCUUAGGAUAGUGAUCUCGACUCUAGGAUAGUGAUCUCGACUCCAAAAUUGAUGGCCAAUCGUACUUGCUACUGACAAGUUUGAUGAACUACUGAAACUUGUAAAGGGUUGUCAUAUGAAACUUUAGAGAGUUUUGAAUAAUUUUUUUUUAUAUGUUUAAAUUACUAAUAAAUAUUUUAUUUUAUUAAAAUUAAUUUUUCAAUUUCUAUUUCUAAAUUACUCAAUUAAAAUUUUAAAUCAUUUUAAAUUUUAUAAAGUCAAACUUUUUAAUUUUUUUGCACUCCUAAACUUAGUCUGGUGAUAAGUGCAUCCGAGUAAAUCUGAGAGAUCUAGGUUCGAAUUCUCCGACCCCUAAUUCAAAAAAAAAAAUUAAAUAUUUUUAUCGAAUAAAAUAUUAGUAAAUAUAUUUUUAGCUUUAAUUAGAAAAUUUUAAAUUAUAUAUAAUAUAAAACUUUAUUUUAAUCAAAUGACAAAAUUAAAAAAUUAAACGGUCAAUUUUGACACAAUAUAAAAAUCAAAUAAUAAUCCACUCUUUUAUAUUUUAAAGUAAUUUUUUGGGUACAUUAUGGGAAAUUCUCAAUAAUUUUACCAAUUAUAUCUACCAUUUAUAUGCGUCUUCGAAAAGUUUUAUUUUUUCUAUUUAUGCAUUGAUUUUAUUUCUUAUGAGAAUUUGCCAAUCUCCAAUCCAUCCCUAUUUCCUUUUCCGAUUCUCUAUUUCCUUUCCUCAUUCCCAAUCUCCGAUCCAUCCCUAAAAACAGCUGACGAGAGAUCGAUGAUGAUGAAGAUGCCUUGGAAUAGGAAGAGCAGGAGCUUCCAUCUUCAGCUACAAGGGGCAAUUGGUACCAUUCAAUCUCCAUUCCUAUUCUUAUUUACCAAUUAUUGCCAUUCUUCUACUUACACGCUUGAAGAUGCACGCUUCUUGACAAAUAACUUCAAAUCUGCUUCUUUUACCCACCUUGAUGAUGCCAUUGCUUCCUUCAAUCAUGUAAUUCAUAAGCAUCCUCUGCCUUCUAGGGUUCCAUUUAAUAGAUUCUUAUCUGCCCUUGUGAAAAUGAAACAAUAUCACACUGUCCUUUCCAUGUCCAANNN
RNAcentral lists this long non-coding RNA (28266 nucleotides) under Manihot esculenta (cassava). RNAcentral describes it as "long non-coding RNA (MESC_LNC012196)". The record is from RNAcentral. Lineage: Eukaryota; Viridiplantae; Streptophyta; Magnoliopsida; Malpighiales; Euphorbiaceae.